Molecule: non-coding RNA, 32 nt
Filed under: Rattus norvegicus (Norway rat)
Lineage: Eukaryota; Metazoa; Chordata; Mammalia; Rodentia; Muridae
Source: RNAcentral
UGGCCAGAAGUUUUUUGAGUACUUUUUAAGGC